Molecule: ribosomal RNA, 737 nt
Filed under: Salmonella enterica subsp. enterica serovar Kentucky
Lineage: Bacteria; Pseudomonadati; Pseudomonadota; Gammaproteobacteria; Enterobacterales; Enterobacteriaceae
Description: partial 23S ribosomal RNA
Rfam family: Bacterial large subunit ribosomal RNA
Source: RNAcentral
AGGGAAACCGAGUCUUAACUGGGCGUUAAGUUGCAGGGUAUAGACCCGAAACCCGGUGAUCUAGCCAUGGGCAGGUUGAAGGUUGGGUAACACUAACUGGAGGACCGAACCGACUAAUGUUGAAAAAUUAGCGGAUGACUUGUGGCUGGGGGUGAAAGGCCAAUCAAACCGGGAGAUAGCUGGUUCUCCCCGAAAGCUAUUUAGGUAGCGCCUCGUGAACUCAUCUUCGGGGGUAGAGCACUGUUUCGGCUAGGGGGUCAUCCCGACUUACCAACCCGAUGCAAACUGCGAAUACCGAAGAAUGUUAUCACGGGAGACACACGGCGGGUGCUAACGUCCGUCGUGAAGAGGGAAACAACCCAGACCGCCAGCUAAGGUCCCAAAGUCACAGUUAAGUGGGAAACGAUGUGGGAAGGCUCAGACAGCCAGGAUGUUGGCUUAGAAGCAGCCAUCAUUUAAAGAAAGCGUAAUAGCUCACUGGUCGAGUCGGCCUGCGCGGAAGAUGUAACGGGGCUAAACUGUGCACCGAAGCUGCGGCAGCGACGCUUAUGCGUUGUUGGGUAGGGGAGCGUUCUGUAAGCCUGCGAAGGUGUCCUGUGAGGGAUGCUGGAGGUAUCAGAAGUGCGAAUGCUGACAUAAGUAACGAUAAUGCGGGUGAAAAGCCCGCUCGCCGGAAGACCAAGGGUUCCUGUCCAACGUUAAUCGGGGCAGGGUGAGUCGACCCCUAAGGCGAGGCC